UACGUAGGGUGCAAGCGUUGUCCGGAAUUAUUGGGCGUAAAGAGCUCGUAGGCGGUUUGUUGCGUCGGCUGUGAAAUCCCGAGGCUCAACCUCGGGUCUGCAGUCGAUACGAGCAAACUAGAGUGUUGCAGGGGAGACUGGAAUUCCUGGUGUAGCGGUGAAAUGCGCAGAUAUCGAGAGGAACACCUGCGGCGAAGGCGGGUUGCUGGGCUGACACUGACGCUGAGGCGCGAAAGCGUGGGGAGCAAACAGG
Molecule: ribosomal RNA, 253 nt
Filed under: uncultured bacterium
Lineage: Bacteria
Description: partial 16S ribosomal RNA
Rfam family: Bacterial small subunit ribosomal RNA
Source: RNAcentral